This 159-nucleotide non-coding RNA is filed under the name Hyphomicrobiaceae bacterium. Its description in RNAcentral is "6S RNA". It matches the Rfam family "6S / SsrS RNA". From Rfam's summary of the family: E. coli 6S RNA was the first non coding RNA to be sequenced, but its function was unknown until recently. It consists of 184 nucleotides that fold into an extended hairpin structure with a large single-stranded internal bulge. The 6S RNA specifically associates with RNA polymerase holoenzyme containing the sigma70 specificity factor. The record is from RNAcentral. Lineage: Bacteria; Pseudomonadati; Pseudomonadota; Alphaproteobacteria; Hyphomicrobiales; Hyphomicrobiaceae.
GCAGGGCUGCGAAGUGCGUCAGGAGACAAAUUCCCGGGGCCGAUACGACUCCUUAGGGAGCUGACCCUGGCCGGGAUCGUGGUCCCGGUCACUCGGCGCCCACCUACAUUUCGUAGGGACCCAGGGAAUCACACCUCCGACGGCUUAUGCGGCCUUGCG